RNAcentral lists this long non-coding RNA (378 nucleotides) under Hordeum vulgare. Its description in RNAcentral is "long non-coding RNA (HVUL_LNC021077)". Lineage: Eukaryota; Viridiplantae; Streptophyta; Magnoliopsida; Poales; Poaceae. The record is from RNAcentral.
AUGAAGUUAACUCUUUGGAGAUUCCACGCUCAGAGGAUGAAGAUGAAGAUGAUGACGAGGAUGAGUCUCCUCCCACUACCACUAGAUUCAGCACCCAGCCUCGGUCAGUUGAUGUUCCUGUUCCGGAGACACGACAGACAUCUUCAGCACAAGCUUCAGCACUAGCUCAAGCUCAAGCUCCUUCAGUAUCAACUCCUCCAGCUCCAGGGACGUCAGCAGAAGCCUUCACCGACGCUGUUUUAUCGACUCCAUCAUCAGCUGCCUAGAGAGACGAGUAGUUCUAUACUUUUGAAUUUUUUGGUAACUUGUUGCCAAAGGGGAAGAAAUGUAUAGAUCAUAGACUUCGUGUGAGAGCGAGCUUUUGACAUUAUUUGCUCU